AGAGUUUGAUCCUGGCUCAGGACGAACGCUGGCGGCGUGCCUAACACAUGCAAGUCGAGCGAUCUUCUUCGGAAGAGAGCGGCGGACGGGUGAGUAACGCGUGGGUAACCUGCCUCAUACACAUGGAUAACAUACCGAAAGGUACGCUAAUACAAGAUGAUAUAAGAGAUUCGCAUGGAUUUCUUAUCAAAGCUCCGGCGGUAUGAGAUGGACCCGCGUCUGAUUAGCUAGUUGGUAAGGUAAUGGCUUACCAAGGCGACGAUCAGUAGCCGACCUGAGAGGGUGAUCGGCCACAUUGGAACUGAGACACGGUCCAAACUCCUACGGGAGGCAGCAGUGGGGAAUAUUGCACAAUGGGCGCAAGCCUGAUGCAGCGACGCCGCGUGAGGGAUGGAGGCCUUCGGGUUGUAAAGCUCUGUCUUCAGGGACGAUAAUGACGGUACCUGAGGAGGAAGCCACGGCUAACUACGUGCCAGCAGCCGCGGUAAUACGUAGGGUGCAAGCGUUAUCCGGAAUUAUUGGGCGUAAAGCGAGCGCAGGCGGAUGAUUAAGUGGGAUGUGAAAUACCCGGGCUCAACUUGGGUGCUGCAUUUCAAACUGGAAGUCUAGAGUGCAGAAGAGGACAGUGGAACUCCAUGUGUAGCGGUGAAAUGCGUAGAUAUAUGGAGGAACACCAGUGGCGAAGGCGACUUUCUGGACUGUAACUGACGCUGAGGCUCGAAAGCGUGGGGAGCAAACAGGAUUAGAUACCCUGGUAGUCCACGCCGUAAACGAUGAAUACUAGGUGUAGGGGUUGUCAUGACCUCUGUGCCGCCGCUAACGCAUUAAGCAUUCCGCCUGGGGAGUACGACCGCAAGGUUGAAACUCAAAGGAAUUGACGGGGGCCCGCACAAGCAGCGGAGCAUGUGGUUUAAUUCGAAGCAACGCGAAGAACCUUACCUAGACUUGACAUCUCCUGCAUUACCCUUAAUCGGGGAAGUUCCUUCGGGGACAGGAAGACAGGUGGUGCAUGGUUGUCGUCAGCUCGUGCUGUGAGAUGUUGGGUUAAGUCCCGCAACGAGCGCAACCCUUAUUGUUAGUUGCCAUCAUUAAGUUGGGCACUCUAGCGAGACUGCCCGGGUUAACCGGGAGGAAGGUGGGGAUGACGUCAAAUCAUCAUGCCCCUUAUGUCUAGGGCUACACACGUGCUACAAUGGUCGGUACAAUAAGACGCAAGCCCGCGAGGGGGAGCAAAACUGGAAAACCGAUCUCAGUUCGGAUUGUAGGCUGAAACUCGCCUACAUGAAGCUGGAGUUGCUAGUAAUCGCGAAUCAGCAUGUCGCGGUGAAUACGUUCCCGGGCCUUGCACUCACCGCCCGUCA
Molecule: ribosomal RNA, 1361 nt
Filed under: human gut metagenome
Description: bacterial SSU rRNA
Rfam family: Bacterial small subunit ribosomal RNA
Source: RNAcentral